GAGGGUAUAGCUCAGUGGUGGAGCACAUGCUUAGCAUGCACAAGGUCCUGGGUUCAAUCCCCAGUCCCUGCA
This 72-nucleotide transfer RNA is filed under the name Camelus bactrianus (Bactrian camel). It matches the Rfam family "tRNA". Rfam says of the family: Transfer RNA (tRNA) molecules are approximately 80 nucleotides in length. Their secondary structure includes four short double-helical elements and three loops (D, anti-codon, and T loops). Further hydrogen bonds mediate the characteristic L-shaped molecular structure. tRNAs have two regions of fundamental functional importance: the anti-codon, which is responsible for specific mRNA codon recognition, and the 3' end, to which the tRNAs corresponding amino acid is attached (by aminoacyl-tRNA synthetases). tRNAs cope with the degeneracy of the genetic code in two manners: having more than one tRNA (with a specific anti-codon) for a particular amino acid; and 'wobble' base-pairing, i.e. permitting non-standard base-pairing at the 3rd anti-codon position. RNAcentral also lists the same sequence under 2 other names. Lineage: Eukaryota; Metazoa; Chordata; Mammalia; Artiodactyla; Camelidae. The record is from Rfam by way of RNAcentral.